AUUGAACGCUGGCGGCAUGCUUUACACAUGCAAGUCGAACGGUAACAGGGAGCUUGCUCCGCUGACGAGUGGCGAACGGGUGAGUAAUAUAUCGGAACGUACCCAAGAGUGGGGGAUAACGUAGCGAAAGUUACGCUAAUACCGCAUACGAUCUAAGGAUGAAAGCAGGGGACCUUCGGGCCUUGUGCUCCUGGAGCGGCCGAUAUCUGAUUAGCUAGUUGGUGAGGUAAAGGCUCACCAAGGCGACGAUCAGUAGCUGGUCUGAGAGGACGACCAGCCACAAUGGAACUGAGACACGGUCCAGACUCCUACGGGAGGCAGCAGUGGGGAAUUUUGGACAAUGGGCGCAAGCCUGAUCCAGCAAUGCCGCGUGAGUGAAGAAGGCCUUCGGGUUGUAAAGCUCUUUUGUCAGGGAAGAAACGGGAUUGGCUAAUAUCCAGUCCUAAUGACGGUACCUGAAGAAUAAGCACCGGCUAACUACGUG
RNAcentral lists this ribosomal RNA (484 nucleotides) under uncultured bacterium. Its description in RNAcentral is "partial 16S ribosomal RNA". It matches the Rfam family "Bacterial small subunit ribosomal RNA", at positions 30 to 507 of the family's 1533-position model. The record is from RNAcentral.